Molecule: ribosomal RNA, 504 nt
Filed under: uncultured bacterium
Lineage: Bacteria
Description: partial 16S ribosomal RNA
Rfam family: Bacterial small subunit ribosomal RNA
Source: RNAcentral
AUUGAACGCUGGCGGCAGGCCUAACACAUGCAAGUCGAACGGUAGCACAGAGAGCUUGCUCUCGGGUGACGAGUGGCGGACGGGUGAGUAAUGUCUGGGAAACUGCCCGAUGGAGGGGGAUAACUACUGGAAACGGUAGCUAAUACCGCAUAACGUCGCAAGACCAAAGUGGGGGACCUUCGGGCCUCACACCAUCGGAUGUGCCCAGAUGGGAUUAGCUAGUAGGUGGGGUAAUGGCUCACCUAGGCGACGAUCCCUAGCUGGUCUGAGAGGAUGACCAGCCACACUGGAACUGAGACACGGUCCAGACUCCUACGGGAGGCAGCAGUGGGGAAUAUUGCACAAGGGGCGGAAGCCUGAUGCAGCCAUGCCGCGUGUAUGAAGAAGGCCUUCGGGUUGUAAAGUACUUUCAGCGGGGAGGAAGGCGGUGAAGUUAAUAACUUCACCGAUUGACGUUACCCGCAGAAGAAGCACCGGCUAACUCCGUGCCAGCCGCCGCCGUAA